GAUAAAGUUGGUAAGUGUUAAUGAUUCUCGGCAAGGUUUAAACACCAAGUUGACUGUGUUGGUAAAUAUUAAAUUCCUGUUCCUUGCGUGGUCAUGUUAUGAGUCGGCAUUUCAAUUCCAACACUAUGAUAUCCUCUGCUUGCUUCCUGUCUUCCGGGUAACAUAUACUCCUUUCGAUUUUUGUAUUUUGCUCCGCUUCAUCUGCUUUUUCUCCAUUAACUGGAUGUUUUUUCUCCUUUCGAUUUCUCCAUUACACAGGAGGACAUAAUCAAUAUUGUUCACAGAAUGUAUGAGAAAGAUGACAUUCCAAAGGA
Molecule: long non-coding RNA, 314 nt
Filed under: Linum usitatissimum (flax)
Lineage: Eukaryota; Viridiplantae; Streptophyta; Magnoliopsida; Malpighiales; Linaceae
Description: long non-coding RNA (LUSI_LNC001240)
Source: RNAcentral